This is a non-coding RNA of Clonostachys solani, 73 nucleotides long. The record is from the annotation of a GenBank genome assembly. NCBI's taxonomy places the organism in Eukaryota, Fungi, Ascomycota, Sordariomycetes, Hypocreales, Bionectriaceae.
GCCCCACUGGCGCAAUGGCUAGCGCGCAAGACUUCUAAUCUUGAGGUUGUGGGUUCGAGUCCCACGUGGGGUU